UGAUGGUGGUGGGGGUAUAGCUAGAGGAAAGCAGUUCUCACAACUCCCAGCCUAUGAGCUCCCCUACCUGGCUUGCUGACUGGAUCAUUUCCUUGAUGGCCAGUUUCAAACAGCUCAUUCUGCCCUCUUACCUCAAGAGGCUCCCAGUGCCAAUAGCCCAUUCAGAUGGUUGUUUGAAAUCUCUUUUCUCAUUGGCUCAGAUUCCCAACUUUCCCUCGCUUUAGCGUCUGCCCCAGCCCCCUUAGAGAAUGCUCUUCCCUCUUUAUACUUCAUCAUGGUUGCCGUGUCAUAGCUUCUGCUGUCAUAUGGAGGGAGAGUGCUUGUAUAUCUUAUAACUGGAAGUUUGUACCUUUCUUGACUGUCUUCUUCAGUCUCCCCUUCUCCAGCCCCAUACUGCUGCUGAUACUGUGCAGGCCCACUGGACUUUCAGACUUGCCCAGGAAGCAUACCAGUUUCUUGCCUGUGAGCACAUCAACCCAGUCUUUAAAAAAAUGACUAAAAGAAUUGAUUACAAAGGAUCUGCUUAUUCAAUAGCUCAACAAGGGGAAGAUUGCUGCUGCUGCUGCUGCUAAGUUGCUUCAGUCAUGUCCGACUCUGUGCGACCCCAUAGACGGCAGCCCACCAGGCUCCCCCGUCCCUGGGAUUCUUCAGGCAAGAACACUGGAGUGGGUUGCCAUUUCCUUCUCCAGUGCAUGAAAGUGAAAAGUGAAAGUGAAGUUGCUCAGUCGUGUCUGACUCUUAGCGACCCCAUGAAUUGCAGCCUACAGGCUCUUCUGUCCAUGGGAUUCUCCAGGUGAGACUACUGGAGUGGGGUGCCAUUGCCUCCUCCAAAGGGGAAGAUUAAUGCCUUUAAAAUCCAAUGUUAUCUAAGGGUCUAGUCAAAGUUAUUAUUUGCCACUGUUGCUGCUGCUGCUGCUGCUGAGUCACUUCAGUCGUGUCCGACUCUGUGCGACUCCACAGACGGCAGCCCACCAGGCUCCCCCGUCCCUGGGAUUCUCCAGGCAAGAACACUGGAGUGGGUUGCCAUUUCCUUCUCCAGUGCAUGAAAGUGAAGAGUGAAAGUGAAGUCGCUCAGUCAUGUCUGACUCUCAGCGACCCCAUGGACUGCAGCCUACCAGGCUCCUCCGUCCAUGGGAUUUUCCAGGCAAGAGUACUGGAGUGGGGUGCCAUUGCCUUCUCCGUUGCC
Bos taurus (domestic cattle) is the source of this 1186-nucleotide long non-coding RNA. The record is from Ensembl. Lineage: Eukaryota; Metazoa; Chordata; Mammalia; Artiodactyla; Bovidae.